Long non-coding RNA from Perca fluviatilis (European perch), 1475 nucleotides. RefSeq lists it as uncharacterized. Lineage: Eukaryota; Metazoa; Chordata; Actinopteri; Perciformes; Percidae. The record is from RefSeq and is a predicted model, not a curated record. The transcript has 4 exons.
UAAUAAUUUUUUUUAUUUUUAGGUAGAUUUUUCUAAAGACGUCUGAAACAUUUGUGGUGGCAUCAUUGCAGCUAUAGCCUCUAAAAAAGACCUUGAAUAACCAAAGUGCUAGAAUCGUUACAUUUCAAUGGCUUCACUCUGUUAGUAACAAUUGUACAUCAAAAAUCUGCUCAGGUGAAAACACAUAAACAAAAUUGACAAAAUUGAUAGUUCAACCAUAUCAAACACAGCGAAUUCAGAAGUGUUACAUUUUCAGUGUUAGUGAAAUUUGAGCAAAAGUAGAGUUAAUUAUACUCUGAUAGAGUUACAUCCACUAUAUUUGACUUCAGUUGAUAAGUAGUUGGUGUCAAAACCAAGUGUAAAGACAAAGUGUCAUUAAAUUAAACCUGUAAGUGUAAUUUUAUAAAUAUUGACUCUGAACUUCUCUCUAAACUCCGAUCCUCCGUUUACAAAUUGCUGACAAUUACAUACAUUUUUGUUAAGAGUUAAGUAUUAUUGUUUUGUGACCUCUUAAACCUUUAGAUUCUCUCAAUGACAAAUGACUAACAUGAAAUAUUUUCUAAAGACUGUCUGUCUAAAGACUUUAAAAAAUACAGUUCUUUGCUGGCAAAGGUGGAAGAUGGAGGAGUCACAAAGUAUAUCAAAGUUCCACAAACAGAUGAAAACUUUGAUUCCAGCCAGUUUCUUCAAGAAGGUUUAAUGCUGCACCAGAUGGGGUGGAAUCAACUCGUGACUGUCCUUAGCUUGACUGACACAUCAGAUACUGAAGUUGAUGCAGACAUAUUUGAUGAGCUUAUCAAAUCAGGGGUGCGAAACUUCAAAGUUGGAUACCGCAAGCACCCAGUAACCGGAACACUUCUAUGAUCCUGAGGCCAAUUCUGGCUAUCUUGCCUGGAGACUCAAGACGGUCCAACACAACACCUAUGGUGUCCGUGGGCAUUCAAGACCUAAUUUCCAGGACAGCCCAACAAUCCAGCGAGAAUCUCUGGUAAUUGGUGAACAGCUCUUUGCUGAGGAAUGCAAAGGGGCUCUCUCUAUAAUGAGACACUCAACAGAUACAGCCCUGGUUGAAGAGAAGAUGAGAGCCACCUUUGCAUACAGACAGAAGCUGGUUCGUGACCAGGAUGCAACGGCUUCAGUGUUGGAUGUCUUCCCUAAGGAUAAGGAUAUGUAGAGAUUAUUACUAGUAUUAGGAACUAUUUGAAAACGGAUUCCUUCAAAAUUCAAAAUGUACUUAAAUGACUUUUAUAUGGUGUUGUGCCUCUGUUUAAAGAUUGAACAGGAUUUUUCCAUGAUGUUUGGGGACCAUGUAUCUGCAACGUUUCUGGAAAAAUGGCCUUCAUUCAAGCAGAAAAUCAUUGCAGAAUGACAGAGUCUUCCCUCAAGUCCUCAUGUUGAGGAGCUGCACACAGCUUUUGACCUUGAGGCGGAGAAUGACUAUGCUGUCGUUUCAGGCAAAGCGCUCGACCCUCCUC